GACGAACGCUGGCGGCGUGCCUAAUACAUGCAAGUAGAACGCAGUUGCGAACGGGUGAGUAACGCGUAGGUAACUGCCUCAUAGCGUGGGUUAACUCUUGGAAACGUUAUCUAAUACCGCAUACUGUUAUAUGGACCUGCGUUGUAUUAGCUAGUUGGUGAGGUAAAGGCUCACCAAGGCGACGAUACAUAGCCGACCUGAGAGGGUGAUCGGGCCAACUGGGAAUGAGAAAAGGGCCAGAAUCCGACGGGAGGAAGCAGGAGGGAAUCUUUGGAAAUGGACGGAAGUCUGAACGAGCAACGCCGGGGGAGUGAAGAAGGUUUUCGGAGCGUAAAGCGCUGUUGUGAGAGAAGCGGUAACUAAACAGAAAGGGACGGCUAACUACGUGCCAGCAGCCGCGGUAAUAC
This 407-nucleotide ribosomal RNA is filed under the name uncultured bacterium. RNAcentral describes it as "partial 16S ribosomal RNA". It matches the Rfam family "Bacterial small subunit ribosomal RNA", at positions 28 to 526 of the family's 1533-position model. The record is from RNAcentral.